Molecule: transfer RNA, 67 nt
Filed under: mouse gut metagenome
Also listed under: 1 other name
Rfam family: tRNA
About the family: Transfer RNA (tRNA) molecules are approximately 80 nucleotides in length. Their secondary structure includes four short double-helical elements and three loops (D, anti-codon, and T loops). Further hydrogen bonds mediate the characteristic L-shaped molecular structure. tRNAs have two regions of fundamental functional importance: the anti-codon, which is responsible for specific mRNA codon recognition, and the 3' end, to which the tRNAs corresponding amino acid is attached (by aminoacyl-tRNA synthetases). tRNAs cope with the degeneracy of the genetic code in two manners: having more than one tRNA (with a specific anti-codon) for a particular amino acid; and 'wobble' base-pairing, i.e. permitting non-standard base-pairing at the 3rd anti-codon position.
Source: RNAcentral
AGUAUAGCUCAGUCUGGUAGAGCGCUACGUUCGGGACGUAGAGGUCGUAGGUUCGAAUCCUGUUACU